AGAAUGUCUGGUUUCCUCUGUACAAUUGGUUAGACAAAAUUGGUUAUUCAACUGCACAGAUAAACUAGAAAUUCGCUGAUGCCAAUGCACAAUAAAAAAGCAGAUCACUGUGAACAAUAUAAACAGCAAAUAGAUUAACAUUAUCCAUGUUCAUGAUGCCAAUGCACAACUACCAACAGAUCAUGAUGCCAUACAAGUAUCUGUGCCUCAUGAAAGAUGCUAAUGGCACUCAUGACCACCAGGUUCAUUCACACAAGGAUGCUAAUGGGAGCUUAUAAAGUUUGAUGCAACACUAUAAUUCCCAUAAUGCAAUCUGUUCCUGUUCCAUAGUCUUCAUGAUUGAGCAAAAAGAGC
Molecule: long non-coding RNA, 354 nt
Filed under: Musa acuminata (dwarf banana)
Lineage: Eukaryota; Viridiplantae; Streptophyta; Magnoliopsida; Zingiberales; Musaceae
Description: long non-coding RNA (MACU_LNC005344)
Source: RNAcentral